RNAcentral lists this transfer RNA (74 nucleotides) under bacterium. Its description in RNAcentral is "tRNA-Gln". It matches the Rfam family "tRNA". From Rfam's summary of the family: Transfer RNA (tRNA) molecules are approximately 80 nucleotides in length. The record is from RNAcentral. RNAcentral also lists the same sequence under 2 other names.
UCCCGGGUCGUCUAAUGGUAGGACAGCUGGUUUUGGUCCAGUCAAUUGGAGUUCGAAUCUCUACCCGGGAACCA